Molecule: ribosomal RNA, 223 nt
Filed under: Salmonella enterica subsp. enterica serovar Mbandaka
Lineage: Bacteria; Pseudomonadati; Pseudomonadota; Gammaproteobacteria; Enterobacterales; Enterobacteriaceae
Description: partial 23S ribosomal RNA
Rfam family: Bacterial large subunit ribosomal RNA
Source: RNAcentral
UAAAGAAAGCGUAAUAGCUCACUGGUCGAGUCGGCCUGCGCGGAAGAUGUAACGGGGCUAAACCAUGCACCGAAGCUGCGGCAGCGACACUGUGUGUUGUUGGGUAGGGGAGCGUUCUGUAAGCCUGCGAAGGUGGCCUGUGAGGGUUGCUGGAGGUAUCAGAAGUGCGAAUGCUGACAUAAGUAACGAUAAAGCGGGUGAAAAGCCCGCUCGCCGGAAGACU